This 254-nucleotide ribosomal RNA is filed under the name uncultured bacterium. RNAcentral describes it as "partial 16S ribosomal RNA". It matches the Rfam family "Bacterial small subunit ribosomal RNA", at positions 524 to 776 of the family's 1533-position model. The record is from RNAcentral.
UACGUAGGGUGCAAGCGUUGUCCGGAAUUAUUGGGCGUAAAGAGCUCGUAGGCGGUCUGUCGCGUCGGCUGUGAAAACCCGGGGCUCAACUCCGGAUCUGCGGUGGGUACGGGCAGACUAGAGUGAUGUAGGGGAGACUGGAAUUCCUGGUGUAGCGGUGAAAUGCGCAGAUAUCAGGAGGAACACCGAUGGCGAAGGCAGAUCUCUGGGCCGUAACUGACGCUGAGGAGCGAAAGCAUGGGGGAGCGAACAGG